This 77-nucleotide transfer RNA is filed under the name Ruminococcus sp. RNAcentral describes it as "tRNA-Arg". It matches the Rfam family "tRNA". Rfam says of the family: Transfer RNA (tRNA) molecules are approximately 80 nucleotides in length. The record is from RNAcentral. RNAcentral also lists the same sequence under 3 other names. Lineage: Bacteria; Bacillati; Bacillota; Clostridia; Eubacteriales; Oscillospiraceae.
GUCUCAGUAGCUCAGUAGGAUAGAGCGUUCGCCUCCUAAGCGAAAGGCCGGGGGUUCGAAUCCCUUCUGGGACGCCA